Molecule: long non-coding RNA, 917 nt
Filed under: Triticum aestivum (bread wheat)
Lineage: Eukaryota; Viridiplantae; Streptophyta; Magnoliopsida; Poales; Poaceae
Description: long non-coding RNA (TAES_LNC000432)
Source: RNAcentral
GAUAAUGUACUUCCCAAAGGACAAUGACAAAGUAAGUCCAUGCUCACAAGUUACAAGGGCAGUCUCCAUUGAAGUGAAGUGUAUUUUGCUCAUUAUUCCUCAACGGAAUAUAAAGUUUGGUACAUGAAACUCAAUAAUCUUCUGGUCUUGGCCGUUUAGCAGUUGCAAUUUACAAACUUACACACGACCUUAAUGGUUGUCAGUCACCACUCACCAAUGUGGGCAAUCUUCAGAGCAAAGCUUCAAAUGUAGUCGAUUAUACACAGCUUUUGCAUGAUAAUUCUCCGAGCGCAAUGAGUCAGGCACAUAAUCAACUCCGAGCACAAGAAAAUAAGAAAUGUAUUCACAUGGCAGAUGGACAUCAAAGAAUCAACCUGCUGCAUCGAUUAGACAGAUGAAUUUGCUUCAGAAAACUGGUGUUGGACUUGAUGUGCCCUCACCUGCAGGCAUUAUUGAGGACCGAGACAGAAUUAUCGAAAGCAAAAGUCCGACCACAUAAGAAUGGUACUUGGAUGCAUGCACUGUACCUCACUCUUCAGUCUUUCGGAUGAGCUAGCAAAGAAUACCAGAGCUGUUUUGUUGUCUUUCAGCAUCCUGACCCUUUAAAUUAUGUUCGGAGUUCAGAAAUAUGUAGGUCGCUGGAAUUGUGGAUGUUCAGCAAAAUGAGAAGCAUUGGACCCAUCUGACAAUGAAAUGGAUGGAGGUAAGCAAUCGUAUUUUGAUGCAAUAUCAGGACUGUGUAUCACAAAAAUCACCCCACAGCUUGAAGUAGAAUACCCUGAAGAGGUUAUCUUCUAGUACUGGUGAUAACUGAUGGCAGAAUUCCAGGACAGGCAGUGUAUGUGAAUGUAGUUGUUCAUUUCCAAGAAACUACUAUUAGUACCAGGCAACUGUACCUAACGACAGAUGAGAGUUUG